AUACGUCCUACGGGAGAAAGCAGGGGACCUUCGGGCCUUGCGCUAUCAGAUGAGCCUGGGUCGGAUUAGCUAGUUGGUGAGGUAAUGGCUCACCAAGGCGACGAUCCGUAACUGGUCUGAGAGGAUGACCAGCCACACUGGAACUGAGACACGGUCCAGACUCCUACGGGAGGCAGCAGUGGGGAAUUUUGGACAAUGGGCGAAAGCCUGAUCCAGCAAUGCCGCGUGAGUGAAGAAGGCCUUCGGGUUGUAAAGCUCUUUUGUCAGGGAAGAAACGGCGCCGGCUAAUAUCCGGCGCUAAUGACGGUACCUGAAGAAUAAGCACCGGCUAACUACGUGCCAGCAGCCGCGGUAAUACGUAGGGUGCGAGCGUUAAUCGGAAUUACUGGGCGUAAAGCGUGCGCAGGCGGUUUUGUAAGUCUGUCGUGAAAUCCCCGGGCUUAACCUGGGAAUUGCGAUGGAGACUGCAAGGCUAGAAUCUGGCAGAGGGGGGUAGAAUUCCACGUGUAGCAGUGAAAUGCGUAGAGAUGUGGAGGAACACCGAUGGCGAAGGCAGCCCCCUGGGUCAAGAUUGACGCUCAUGCACGAAAGCGUGGGGAGCAAACAGGAUUAGAUACCCUGGUAGUCCACGCCCUAAACGAUGUCUACUAGUUGUCGGGUCUUAAUUGACUUGGUAACGCAGCUAACGCGUGAAGUAGACCGCCUGGGGAGUACGGUCGCAAGAUUAAAACUCAAAGGAAUUGACGGGACCCGCACAAGCGUGGAUGAUGUGAUUAUCGAUGCAACGCGAAAACUUACUA
RNAcentral lists this ribosomal RNA (800 nucleotides) under uncultured beta proteobacterium. RNAcentral describes it as "bacterial SSU rRNA". It matches the Rfam family "Bacterial small subunit ribosomal RNA", at positions 173 to 976 of the family's 1533-position model. The record is from RNAcentral. Lineage: Bacteria; Pseudomonadati; Pseudomonadota; Betaproteobacteria.